RNAcentral lists this RNase P RNA (397 nucleotides) under Caulobacter sp. RNAcentral's name for it is "RNase P RNA component class A". It matches the Rfam family "Bacterial RNase P class A". From Rfam's summary of the family: Ribonuclease P (RNase P) is a ubiquitous endoribonuclease, found in archaea, bacteria and eukarya as well as chloroplasts and mitochondria. Its best characterised activity is the generation of mature 5'-ends of tRNAs by cleaving the 5'-leader elements of precursor-tRNAs. The record is from RNAcentral. Lineage: Bacteria; Pseudomonadati; Pseudomonadota; Alphaproteobacteria; Caulobacterales; Caulobacteraceae.
UCAGACGGCCGGGCGGUCGCGGCGCGCUGCGAGGCGCGUCGAGGAAAGUCCGGGCUCCACGACGACGAGGCGGCGGGUAACGCCCGCCGGGAGCGAUCCCAGGGACAGCGCCACAGAGAGCAGACCGCCCUCAUCGCGAGGGUAAGGGUGAAAGGGUGCGGUAAGAGCGCACCGGGGCUUCGGCAACGCGGCCCGCAUGGCAAGCCCCGCCUGGAGCAAGACCGAAUAGGGACCGCGCGCCUUCCCGCGUGAGUAGGGGAGGGCAGGGGCGUCGCCGCUCCGAGCAGGUCCGGGUUGGUCGCGAGAACCGCCCCGCGAGGGGCGGUCCAGAGGAAUGGCCGCCGCGUCCCGCACCCGCGGGGCGGCACAGAACCCGGCUUACAGGCCGUCUGACCCG